This is a long non-coding RNA of Dreissena polymorpha, 2854 nucleotides long. RefSeq lists it as uncharacterized. NCBI's taxonomy places the organism in Eukaryota, Metazoa, Mollusca, Bivalvia, Myida, Dreissenidae. The transcript is spliced from 3 exons. The record is from RefSeq and is a predicted model, not a curated record.
UGCACUGACAGGCAUCUUCAUUAGCACUUUAUUCUACAUUUACAGGAAUUUCAAUCGAAGCAAAAUCCUGCGUUUUGAUGCAAGCAAAUUGCAAUUUCUCAUUUUUGACUCCAGCAAAACAAUAGCCUUGCAUCAUUUUGAGACAUUUGUUUUUCAUAAUCCAACUUUUUAAAAGUCAAGAAAUGAGAUGUAUGCUACAAAAAAUGCUUUUCACCAUGAUACAUAUAAAUAAGAUUUUACAAAAUAGUAAACACUCGUAAAGGAACAAAUUUCAAGAUACUUGAGUAUAUUGACCCCAAUCAUUUUCAUUUUGACCCCUGAAAUUUUGAAGCCUUGGGUCAUGUUGAGUGCUGGUUUUUUUUAAAUCUGUGAAAUCCCUGAAUUAUGGAGGCUUUUACCAUAUUCUUAUAUGGAUGUAAUUUAAAAAUUUCGGUAGAGGUUCACUAGAAAAUGUUUCAUGUCAAAUAUCUAUACUCAAGGUCUUUCACGGUUUUGAAGAAGACAUGUUUGAAGUGUUUACCAUAUACAUAUAUGGAAAAUGCAUUGGCCACCCCCAGGGCUGGACUAAUUUAUAAUUCGGGGCUUUUAUUUCAACAAUCUUCAUAGUGGUCUACUUGACAAAGUUUCGAGCCAAAAAUUUAUGCUCUUGACCUUGUGGUUUCAGAGAUAUCUUUUUUUCUUUAAACAUAUACGGAAAUUUUUACCCCUGAGCGGAGCUAAAUUUGACCCCAGUGGCAUAACAUUUGAACAAACAUGGUGGAGGUCUGCUAGACGAUGUUUGAUGGCAAAAUAUAAUUAAGUGGUUUUGGAGAUUCUUUUAGUUUUUACUUUAAACAAGUAAGUUUAAUACAUCAUUCCUUAGGGUGUGGCUUAUUUUGACCACUGUGCAUAAUUUGAACAACCUUGGUAGAGUUCCACUAGAAAUGUGCUCUUUACCAUUAUACUCUUGCCAAAUAUCUAUGCUCUAGACCUUGUGGUUUGAAUAAGCUUCAUACAUGUACCAGGAAUGUUCCUGUCUAGUUUUACCAAAUUGGCCUAAACGGUUUACGAGAUAAUGUGGGUAAAAUAAUUAUUGUUAUAACUUGAGAUUUGAAGCUUUUAAACCAUACUCUUCAACUACAUCUGACUAAAGAAAAAAAGGCCUGUAAAACAAAAACUUUUUUGUCAGUCUUCCUUGUACAUGUCUGUGGAAACAAUCCACUUAUGGUAUUGUUUUGAAUUGGAUAUGUUUGGUGAAAAAAGUUCACUUCCAGUGCAAGCUGUUGUGAUAUAUCUGUGUCCUUUUUAUACGCCCGUAUAAAAUACGGGACGUAUUAUGUGAAACCCCUUGGCGGCGGGCGGCGGGCGGAAGGCAUCACUUUGUCCGGACUCUAAUUCAAAUUGUAUUCAUCCGAUCUUCACCAAACUUGGUCAGCAGUUGCAUCUAGUUGAUAUCUAGGCCAAGUUCGAAUAUGGGUCAUGCCGGGUCAAAAACUAGGUCAUAGGGUCAAUAAGUGCAUUUUCAACGGCGCCACUUUGUCCGGACUCUAAUUCAAAUUGUAUUCAUCCGAUCUUCACCAAACUUGGUCAGCAGUUGCAUCUAGUUGAUAUCUAGGCCAAGUUCGAAUAUGGGUCAUGCCGGGUCAAAAACUAGGUCAUAGGGUCAAUUAGUGCAUUUUCAACGGCGCCACUUUGUCCGGACUCUAAUUCAAAUUGUAUUCAUCCGAUCUUCACCAAACUUGGUCAGUAGUUGCAUCUAGUUGAUAUCUAGGUCAAGUCCGAAUAUGGGUCAUGCUGGGUCAAAAACUAGGUCAAAGGGUCAAUUAGUGCAUUUUACUUUGUCCGGACUCUAAUUCAAAUUGUAUUCAUCCGAUCUUCACCAAACUUGGUCAGCAGUUGCAUCUAGUUGAUAUCUAGGCCAAGUUCGAAUAUGGGUUAUGCCGGGUCAAAAACUAGGUCACAGGGUCACUUAGUGCAUUUCAAGCAUUAAGCAUGGUGUCCGCUCUCUAAUUGAAUUAGUUUUUUUCCAAUCUUCACCAAACUUGGUCAGAAGUUGUAUCUGGACAAUGUCUAGGUCAAGUUCGAAUAUGGGUCAUGCCGGGUCAAAAACUAGGUAACGGGGUCACUUAGUGCAUUUCAAGCAUUUAGCAUGGUGUCGGCUCUCUAAUUGAAGUAGUUUUCAUCCGAUCUUCACCACAUUUGGUCAGAAGUUGUGUCUAGACAAUAUCUAGGUCAAGUUCAAAUAUGGGUCAUGUCGGGUCAAAAACUAGAUCACGAGGUCACUUAGUGCAUUUCAAGCAUUAAGCAUGGUGUCCGCUCUCUAAUUGAAGUAGUUUUCAUCUGAUCUUCACCAAAUUUGGUCAGAAGUUGUGUCUAGAUGAUAUGUAGGUCAAGUUCAAAUAUGGGUCAUGGUAAAGUUAUCAAGUUGUCCAAAACCUUCAAACGGGCGUAUCUUGUGACAGUUUGGCACUCUUGUUAUCAAUGAUUUGCCUUUUUUCUACAAAUCUCAGAAACACAGGUUAAGUUGAUGCUUGCUGCAAUGCUCCUUGCAUGACAAUAGACAAAUGAAUGCUUCAUGUUAAUAGUUGCAUACUUUUUGUACUUUGUCAUUCGAACAAAAAAUAUUAAUUAUAAUUUUCUGCCAUCUUUGGUAAUUUGUGCCAAUCAUAUAUCUUUUUAGCUCACCUGAUUGGUCAGAUGAGCUUUUGUGACCGGUCUUCGUCUGUCUUGCGUCUGUCCGUCGUCCACAUUUGGUUUGUAAACACUAUAGGUCACAUUUCAUGUUGGAUCUUCAUGAAACUUGGUCAGAAGAUUUGUCUUAAUGAUAUCUCGAUCAAGUUCGAAACUGGGUCAUGCUAGGUCAAAAACUAGGUCA